GAUGAAGAACGUGGCGAAAUGCGAUACUUGGUGUGAAUUGCAGAAUCCCGUGAACCAUCGAGUCUUUGAACGCAAGUUGCGCCCGAAGCCAUCAGGUUGAGGGCACGUCUGCCUGGGCGUCACAUAUCGUUGCCCAAUGCCUAUUGCAGUGCAAUAGGAAUUUCUAGGGCGAAUGAUGGCUUCCCGUGAGCGUUGUUGCCUCGCGGUUGGUUGAAAAUCGAGUCCUUGGUAGGGUGUGCCAUGGUAGAUGGUGGUCGAGUUAGAACGAUACCGAUCAUGUGCAUGCUCCCCAAAAUAUGGCCUCUAUGACCCACACGCGUCUUUUGACGCUCAUGACGAGACCUCAGGUCAGGCGGGGCUACCCGCUGAAUUUAAGCAUAUCAAUAAGCGGAGGA
Molecule: unclassified non-coding RNA, 395 nt
Filed under: soil metagenome
Description: partial contains 5.8S ribosomal RNA, internal transcribed spacer 2, and large subunit ribosomal RNA
Rfam family: 5.8S ribosomal RNA (bases 1-122)
Source: RNAcentral